Small nuclear RNA from Jaculus jaculus (lesser Egyptian jerboa), 105 nucleotides. NCBI's taxonomy places the organism in Eukaryota, Metazoa, Chordata, Mammalia, Rodentia, Dipodidae. The record is from Ensembl.
GUGGUCCCUUUGGCAGCACAUAUUCUAAAAUUGGAACAGUACAGAAAAGAUUUCAUGGCCCCAUGCAAGGAUAACUCGCAAAUUCAUGAAACAUUCCAUACUUUU